This 73-nucleotide transfer RNA is filed under the name Acidianus brierleyi. It matches the Rfam family "tRNA". Rfam says of the family: Transfer RNA (tRNA) molecules are approximately 80 nucleotides in length. Their secondary structure includes four short double-helical elements and three loops (D, anti-codon, and T loops). Further hydrogen bonds mediate the characteristic L-shaped molecular structure. tRNAs have two regions of fundamental functional importance: the anti-codon, which is responsible for specific mRNA codon recognition, and the 3' end, to which the tRNAs corresponding amino acid is attached (by aminoacyl-tRNA synthetases). tRNAs cope with the degeneracy of the genetic code in two manners: having more than one tRNA (with a specific anti-codon) for a particular amino acid; and 'wobble' base-pairing, i.e. permitting non-standard base-pairing at the 3rd anti-codon position. Lineage: Archaea; Thermoproteati; Thermoproteota; Thermoprotei; Sulfolobales; Sulfolobaceae. The record is from Rfam by way of RNAcentral.
GCCACGGUAGCUCAGCUGGAAGAGCGCUCGGCUGUUAACCGAGCGGUCGAUGGUUCGAAUCCAUCCCGUGGCG